Non-coding RNA from Gorilla gorilla gorilla (western lowland gorilla), 543 nucleotides. The record is from the annotation of a RefSeq genome assembly. Lineage: Eukaryota; Metazoa; Chordata; Mammalia; Primates; Hominidae.
AUGGACCUCCUGCACAAGAACAUGAAACACCUGUGGUUCUUCCUCCUCCUGGUGGCAGCUCCCAGAUGGGUCCUGUCCCAGGUGCAGCUGCAGGAGUCGGGCCCAGGACUGGUGAAGCCUUCGGAGACCCUGUCCCUCACCUGCGUUGUCUCUGGUGGCUCCAUCAGCAGUAGUAACUGGUGGAGCUGGGUCCGCCAGCCCCCAGGGAAGGGGCUGGAGUGGAUUGGGGAAAUCUAUCAUAGUGGGAGCCCCAACUACAACCCGUCCCUCAAGAGUCGAGUCACCAUAUCAGCAGACAAGUCCAAGAACCAGUUCUCCCUGAAGCUGAGCUCUGUGACCGCCACGGACACGGCCGUGUAUUACUGUGCGAGAGACACAGUUUUAACAAUCGCUGGCACCUUUGAUUAUUAUUAUUAUUUUUUUACUUUCUCUGUUGCUUUCUCCUCAUUAGAAGGAAAAGCUACCAUAAUCACUCUUCACAGAAUAUGCUCAGGGAAAAUGCCAUCACCUAUCAACCCAGGCUGUCAUUGUGGCAUCUCUUAA